AGCGAACGCUGGCGGCAGGCCUAACACAUGCAAGUCGAACGAACUCUUCGGAGUUAGUGGCGGACGGGUGAGUAACACGUGGGAACGUGCCUUUUGGCUCGGAAUAACUCAGGGAAACUUGUGCUAAUACCGAAUGUGCCCUUCGGGGGAAAGAUUUAUCGCCAUUAGAGCGGCCCGCGUCUGAUUAGCUAGUUGGUGAGGUAACGGCUCACCAAGGCGACGAUCAGUAGCUGGUCUGAGAGGAUGACCAGCCACACUGGGACUGAGACACGGCCCAGACUCCUACGGGAGGCGGCAGUGGGGAAUCUUGCGCAAUGGGCGAAAGCCUGACGCAGCCAUGCCGCGUGAAUGAUGAAGGUCUUAGGAUUGUAAAAUUCUUUCACCGGGGACGAUAAUGACGGUACCCGGAGAAGAAGCCCCGGCUAACUUCGUG
RNAcentral lists this ribosomal RNA (433 nucleotides) under uncultured bacterium. RNAcentral's name for it is "partial 16S ribosomal RNA". It matches the Rfam family "Bacterial small subunit ribosomal RNA", at positions 29 to 507 of the family's 1533-position model. The record is from RNAcentral.